AUUGAACGCUGGCGGAAUGCUUUACACAUGCAAGUCGAACGGUAGAGGGGGCAACCCCUUGAGAGUGGCGAACGGGUGAGUAAUAUAUCGGAACGUGCCCAGUCGUGGGGGAUAACGUAGCGAAAGUUACGCUAAUACCGCAUAUCCCCUGAGGGGGAAAGCAGAGAUGCGCCCACGGAGCAGCCUGCGUCCGAUUAGCUAGUUGGUUAGGUAAAGGCUGACCAAGGCGACGAUCGGUAGCUGGUCUGAGAGGAUGAUCAGCCACACUGGAACUGAGACACGGUCCAGACUCCUACGGGAGGCAGCAGUGGGGAAUAUUGGACAAUGGGCGCAAGCCUGAUCCAGCAAUUCCGCGUGGGUGAAGAAGGUCUUCGGAUUGUAAAGCCCUUUCGUUGGGGACGAUGAUGACGGUACCCAAAGAAGAAGCCCCGGCUAACUUCGUG
Molecule: ribosomal RNA, 443 nt
Filed under: uncultured bacterium
Lineage: Bacteria
Description: bacterial SSU rRNA
Rfam family: Bacterial small subunit ribosomal RNA
Source: RNAcentral